GUGCUCCCUUCUGCAGUACAUGUACUAAAAUUAUAAUAAUACAGAGAAGAUUAGCAUGGCCAAUGUGCAAAAAUGACAUGUGGAUUCAUGAAACAUGAAGGAGAAGA
This is a small nuclear RNA of Pteropus vampyrus (large flying fox), 107 nucleotides long. The record is from Ensembl. Lineage: Eukaryota; Metazoa; Chordata; Mammalia; Chiroptera; Pteropodidae.